Molecule: non-coding RNA, 154 nt
Filed under: Clostridium magnum
Lineage: Bacteria; Bacillati; Bacillota; Clostridia; Eubacteriales; Clostridiaceae
Also listed under: 1 other name
Description: Lysine sequence
Rfam family: Lysine riboswitch aptamer
About the family: Riboswitches are metabolite binding domains within certain messenger RNAs that serve as precision sensors for their corresponding targets.
Source: RNAcentral
AUAUGAUAUAGAGGUUGCAGUUGUCAUUAGUACUCUUUAGGAAAGGGUCAACUGCCGAAAUGCAUGAGAUAGAUCAUGUGUUGGGAUUAUACUGAAUAAGUAUGGUACUGUCUUCAGAAAAUUGCCCAAUUUUCUAAAGGAGUGCUUAUCAUAU